RNAcentral lists this ribosomal RNA (600 nucleotides) under uncultured bacterium. RNAcentral describes it as "bacterial SSU rRNA". The stretch from base 1 to 430 matches the Rfam family "Bacterial small subunit ribosomal RNA", at positions 123 to 539 of the family's 1533-position model. The record is from RNAcentral.
GACGUAUCCUGUAAUGGGGGAUAACGUAGCGAAAGUUACGCUAAUACCGCAUACGCUCGAGAGAGGAAAGUGGGGGAUCGCAAGACUCACGUUACAGGAGCGGCCGAUGUCCGAUUAGCUAGUUGGUGGGGUCAAAUGGCCUACCAAGGCGACGAUCGGUAGCUGGUCUGAGAGGAUGAUCAGCCACACUGGGACUGAGACACGGCCCAGACUCCUACGGGAGGCAGCAGUGGGGAAUUUUGGACAAUGGGCGAAAGCCUGAUCCAGCCAUGCCGCGUGCGGGAAGAAGGCCUUCGGGUUGUAAACCGCUUUAGUCCGGGAAAAAGGGGUGCGAGGAUAAUACCCUCGUGCUCUGUGAUGGUCACUUGGAAGAAUAAGCACCGGCUAACUACCGUGCCAGCAGCCGCGGUAACUACGUAGCGGUGCGAGCCGUCUAAUCGGGAAAUACCUUGGGCCGUCACAAAGCGUUGCCGGCCACAGGGCCGGGGGACCUCGCGCAACAGGCACAACGGGCCAGGUCGGAAAAAGGCCCCCACCGGGGACUUUCACAAGCCUUGGGGGAAACUCUGGCNAAAUNCGGGUCGAACUUCGGCANCAUGG